GACAGAGGCCUCGAGCGUUAGGCGGAAUCACUGGGCUUAAAGCGUGUGUAGGCGGAUCGUUAAGUGUCUUGUGAAAUCCCACGGCUCAACCGUGGAACGGCUGGGCAUACUGGCGGUCUUGAGCGGUCCAGGGGCGAGCGGAACAAGCGGUGGAGCGGUGAAAUGCGUAGAUAUCGCUUGGAACGCCGACGGUGAAAACAGCUCGCUGGGGACCCGCUGACGCUGAGACACGAAAGCCAGGGGAGCGAACGGG
Molecule: ribosomal RNA, 253 nt
Filed under: uncultured bacterium
Lineage: Bacteria
Description: partial 16S ribosomal RNA
Rfam family: Bacterial small subunit ribosomal RNA
Source: RNAcentral